AGCUGGCGCCCCUUCUUUGACGACUCCCCGUUGUCCCGCGCCGGCUGUUCCCCUCUGGAGGUUUUGACCUUCACACCUAGGGCCCCGGAGCGAUCCGAGGGCCUAUUUU
RNAcentral lists this small RNA (109 nucleotides) under Rhizobium sp. LC145. RNAcentral describes it as "Alphaproteobacterial ar15". It matches the Rfam family "Alphaproteobacterial ar15". Lineage: Bacteria; Pseudomonadati; Pseudomonadota; Alphaproteobacteria; Hyphomicrobiales; Rhizobiaceae. The record is from Rfam by way of RNAcentral.